This 305-nucleotide ribosomal RNA is filed under the name uncultured bacterium. Its description in RNAcentral is "bacterial SSU rRNA". It matches the Rfam family "Bacterial small subunit ribosomal RNA", at positions 335 to 657 of the family's 1533-position model. The record is from RNAcentral.
UAGCCUACGGGAGGCAGCAGUGGGGGAUAUUGCACAAUGGGGGGAACCCUGAUGCAGCGACGCCGCGUGGGUGAAGAAGCGCCUCGGCGCGUAAAGCCCUGUCAGCAGGGAAGAAAAUGACGGUACCUGAAGAAGAAGCCCCGGCUAACUACGUGCCAGCAGCCGCGGUAAUACGUAGGGGGCAAGCGUUAUCCGGAUUUACUGGGUGUAAAGGGAGCGUAGGCGGCAAGGUAAGCCAGAAGUGAAAGCCCGCGGCUCAACUGCGGGACUGCUUUUGGAACUAUCUAGCUAGAUUGCAGGAGAGG